GGGCCUGUAGCUCAGUGGUUAGAGCGCUACGCUUAUAACGUAGAUGUCGGCGGUUCAAUUCCACCCAGGCCUACUA
Molecule: transfer RNA, 76 nt
Filed under: Candidatus Buchananbacteria bacterium CG10_big_fil_rev_8_21_14_0_10_33_19
Lineage: Bacteria; Candidatus Buchananiibacteriota
Description: tRNA-Ile
Rfam family: tRNA
About the family: Transfer RNA (tRNA) molecules are approximately 80 nucleotides in length.
Source: RNAcentral